This 330-nucleotide small nuclear RNA is filed under the name Mustela putorius furo (domestic ferret). RNAcentral's name for it is "7SK RNA (ENSMPUG00000021639.1)". It matches the Rfam family "7SK RNA". From Rfam's summary of the family: 7SK was discovered as an abundant small nuclear RNA in the mid-70s but a possible function has only recently been suggested. Lineage: Eukaryota; Metazoa; Chordata; Mammalia; Carnivora; Mustelidae. The record is from Rfam by way of RNAcentral.
GGAUGUGAGGGUGAUUUGGCUGGGACAUCUGUCACCCAUGAUUGCCAGAGUUGAUUCAGCUGAUCUGGCUGGCUAGGUGGGUGUCCCCUUCCUUCCUCACCCGUUCCAUGUGCAUCCCUCCUGGAGCUGUGUGCUUGUUCAAAGAGGAUGACCUUUCUCGGUUGAGGAGGACAGCUCUUUGGUCAAAGGUAUACGAGUAGCUGUGCUCCCUUGCUAGAACCUCCAAACAAGCUCUUAAGGUCCAUUUGUAGGAGAACGUAGGGUAGUCAAGUUUCCAAGACUCCAGACCCACCCAAAUGAACUGCUGCAUGUGACAGUCUGCCUUUCUUU